This 200-nucleotide ribosomal RNA is filed under the name uncultured eukaryote. RNAcentral's name for it is "partial 18S ribosomal RNA". It matches the Rfam family "Eukaryotic small subunit ribosomal RNA", at positions 588 to 791 of the family's 1831-position model. The record is from RNAcentral.
GCUCCAAUAGCGUAUAUUUAAGUUGUUGCAGUUAAAAAGCUCGUAGUUGGAUUUCGGGCGUGUCAUGGCGGUCCGCCACUGGUGUGCACUGCCGUCGAUGCGCCUUUCUGUCGGGGACGGGCUCCUGGGCUUCACUGUCUGGGACUCGGGCUCGACGUGGUUACUUUGAGUAAAUUAGAGUGUUCAAAGCAGGCGACCGC